RNAcentral lists this ribosomal RNA (250 nucleotides) under uncultured Staphylococcus sp. RNAcentral describes it as "partial 16S ribosomal RNA". It matches the Rfam family "Bacterial small subunit ribosomal RNA", at positions 90 to 334 of the family's 1533-position model. Lineage: Bacteria; Bacillati; Bacillota; Bacilli; Caryophanales; Staphylococcaceae. The record is from RNAcentral.
CGUUAGCGGCGGACGGGUGAGUAACACGUAGGUAACCUACCUAUAAGACUGGGAUAACUUCGGGAAACCGGAGCUAAUACCGGAUAAUAUUUCGAACCGCAUGGUUCGAUAGUGAAAGAUGGCUUUGCUAUCACUUAUAGAUGGACCUUCGCCGUAUUAGCUAGUUGGUAAGGUAACGGCUUACCAAGGCAACGAUACGUAGCCGACCUGAGAGGGUGAUCGGCCACACUGGAACUGAGACACGGUCCAG